UACGAAGGGGGCUAGCGUUGCUCGGAAUUACUGGGCGUAAAGGGCGCGUAGGCGGCGCAUUUAGUCAGGCGUGAAAGCCCUGGGCUCAACCUGGGGACUGCGCUUGAUACGGGUGUGCUAGAGGACGGAAGAGGGUCGCGGAAUUCCCAGUGUAGAGGUGAAAUUCGUAGAUAUUGGGAAGAACACCGGUGGCGAAGGCGGUGACCUGGUCCGUUACUGACGCUGAGGCGCGACAGCGUGGGGAGCAAACAGG
This 253-nucleotide ribosomal RNA is filed under the name uncultured bacterium. Its description in RNAcentral is "partial 16S ribosomal RNA". It matches the Rfam family "Bacterial small subunit ribosomal RNA", at positions 524 to 776 of the family's 1533-position model. The record is from RNAcentral.